RNAcentral lists this ribosomal RNA (505 nucleotides) under uncultured bacterium. RNAcentral describes it as "partial 16S ribosomal RNA". It matches the Rfam family "Bacterial small subunit ribosomal RNA", at positions 28 to 507 of the family's 1533-position model. The record is from RNAcentral.
GACGAACGCUGGCGGCGUGCCUAAUACAUGCCAGUAGGACGCACAGUCUAUACCGUAGCUUGCUACACCAUAGGCUGUGAGUUGCGAACGGGUGAGUAACGCGUAGGUAACCUGCCUAUUAGAGGGGGAUAACUAUUGGAAACGAUAGCUAAUACCGCAUAACAGUAUGUAACACAUGUUAGAUGCUUGAAAGAUGCAAUUGCAUCGCUAGUAGAUGGACCUGCGUUGUAUUAGCUAGUAGGUAGGGUAAUGGCCUACCUAGGCGACGAUACAUAGCCGACCUGAGAGGGUGAUCGGCCACACUGGGACGGAGACACGGCCCAGACUCCUACGGGAGGCAGCAGUAGGGAAUCUUCGGCAAUGGGGGGAACCCUGACCGAGCAACGCCGCGUGAGUGAAGAAGGGUUUCGGAUCGUAAAGCUCGGUUGUUAAGGAAGAACGAGUGUGAGAAUGGAAAGUUCAUACUGUGACGGUACUUAACCAGAAAGGGACGGCUAACUACGUG